Non-coding RNA from Manduca sexta (tobacco hornworm), 85 nucleotides. The record is from Rfam. NCBI's taxonomy places the organism in Eukaryota, Metazoa, Arthropoda, Insecta, Lepidoptera, Sphingidae.
AGAACAUCAUUGUCGGUGGCCUGACUCAUAAUAAUUGGAUCAUGUCGUCAAAUAUUAUGAGGUCGGUCAACGACAGUGGCGAUCA